This 435-nucleotide ribosomal RNA is filed under the name uncultured Oscillospiraceae bacterium. RNAcentral describes it as "bacterial SSU rRNA". It matches the Rfam family "Bacterial small subunit ribosomal RNA", at positions 341 to 792 of the family's 1533-position model. Lineage: Bacteria; Bacillati; Bacillota; Clostridia; Eubacteriales; Oscillospiraceae. The record is from RNAcentral.
ACGGAAGGCAGCAGUGGGGAAUAUUGCGCAAUGGAGGAAACUCUGACGCAGUGACGCCGCGUAUAGGAUGAAGGUUUUCGGAUUGUAAACUAUUGUCGUUAGGGAAGAUAAAAGACAGUACCUAAGGAGGAAGCUCCGGCUAACUACGUGCCAGCAGCCGCGGUAAUACGUAGGGAGCAAGCGUUAUCCGGAUUUAUUGGGUGUAAAGGGUGCGUAGACGGGAAAUUAAGUUAGUUGUGAAAUCCCUUGGCUUAACUGAGGAACUGCAACUAAAACUGGUUUUCUUGAGUGCAGGAGAGGAAAGAGGAAUUCCUAGUGUAGCGGUGAAAUGCGUAGAUAUUAGGAGGAACACCAGUGGCGAAGGCGUCUUUCUGGACUGUAACUGACGUUGAGGCACGAAAGUGUGGGGAGCAAACAGGAUUAGAUACCCUGGUA